This 634-nucleotide ribosomal RNA is filed under the name Rochia conus. RNAcentral describes it as "Tectus conus partial 12S ribosomal RNA". It matches the Rfam family "Bacterial small subunit ribosomal RNA", at positions 524 to 1384 of the family's 1533-position model. Lineage: Eukaryota; Metazoa; Mollusca; Gastropoda; Trochida; Tegulidae. The record is from RNAcentral.
GACAAACGGGUCGGGUUAAGGCUUAAACAGUAAAAAAGGAGGUUAAAGAGUUGGUAAUCUUUACUUUAGAGAUAAUUGUUUAGGAAAUUUAUAUUUUUUAUAGGGGUGGAAUCUGGAUAAAAUGGGUUAAUUUGUUAUUUCCUUGUUCUUGACGCCUCGAAAUCUUAUGAUGAGACCGGGAUUAGAUACCCCGUUAUUUGAGAAUUAAAUUUUGAUUAUUAGGUUGAUUUACUUGGGUAUUACGAGAUGUGGUAAAAAAAUUAUUACAGCUAUCUUAAAACUCAAAAGACUUGGCGGUGUUUUAGGUCCUUCUAGGGGAACCUGUCCUAUAAUUGAUAGUCCACGUAUUACCUUUCCUCUUCUUGAAAUUUUUCAGCCUGUAUACCGUCGUCGCCAGAUUACUCUUAAGGAGAAUGAAGUUAUCGGUAAGAAUACUUACAGUAGGAUUUUGUUUUAUGUUAUUCUUCCUGACGUCAGAUCAAGGUGCAGCCUAUGAAGAGGGAGAGAUGGGUUACAAUAAUGAUUUAUUAUACGGAUUUUUCUCUGCAAAUUGAGAUUUAUUGAAGGCGGACUUAGAAGUAAUUUAAUAAUAAGGGAGUAGAAAGCCUUGGUGAAAAUUGGCACUAAAAUGUGC